Sebastes umbrosus (honeycomb rockfish) is the source of this 1306-nucleotide long non-coding RNA. RefSeq lists it as uncharacterized. Lineage: Eukaryota; Metazoa; Chordata; Actinopteri; Perciformes; Sebastidae. The transcript is spliced from 5 exons. The record is from RefSeq and is a predicted model, not a curated record.
UGUUGUCAAGAUUGUCAAGGUCUAUAGAUUAUAAACGUUUUAAUAUAAUAACAGCAUCUGGCAGCAGCUCUGGAGUCUCUGGACUGACUCAGUCUGUAGCUGACUAAUCAACUCAUUGAUCAACACCUGGCUGCCACUGAGCUUCAGUUCACACUGAACAAACCCACACAGCAGGAGAUGGAUUAUGGCUUGAUUUAUGACAUAUUAUCACGGUUUACACGCAACAAAUGAAACAACAAACAUAACAGCAGACAGCAGUUGGAUCUCCAUCUAACGCAAUGAUCUCUUGGCGGAAACAUGCUAAAACACUGAGAAACUGGGAUUACAGCUAACACACAGAGCCAGAGGGGGGUCGACUUCAUUCUCAGCAGACAGCAGCAGCAGGGAUGGGCCAGGAGGGAGGGCUACUGUGACUACAUACCAGUCGGACCUCCAUUUAACGCAGUGACCUCUUGUCGUGUGCCCGGCUAUGUCUACAAAGCACGGAGAAACUCUAACCAACACACACAGAGGGAGAGCGACUUCAUUCUCUGCUCAGACCACCUGGAAAACAACGCUGAUCGAGAUGUGAUGUGCGGAGUGCUCUCGUGGAAACAAGCCGAGCUUUAGAUGCACUUAAUGAACUGCGCUGAAGCCAAGAACAGCUGAGAGGUGUCACUAUCAUCACAGGAGAACAUGUGUGCCUCUCAGUCUCACCGAUCAGAACCACCAGACGGGGCCUCUCGUUGGAUCUCUGCUGGUAGCGGGUCACCUCCUCAUAAGUCAGGAAGUCGGGGUCUCCAGGAUCAGAGCCCUCUCCGGAGGAUCCUUGCCUGUCCUUGCGACUCAGCCGGAAGCUCCUCCGUAAACCAGCUACAGCGAGGCCAGAGAUGGGAGGGAAGAAGGAGCAGAAACAAAACACGUCUUUCGUCAGAUGUCAUGAACCCUAAAACUAUUUACACAAGAUAACAUGAGCACACUACUUAACUUCCAUGAUGCAGAUACGAUCUCUUUGUGUUUCAAAAUUAGAUAAGUGCAGUGAGCAAAUGCAAAAGCAAUGUUUCUGAUAAAGUCAAGACCAACCCAUUUAUAAGCAUGCAUUAAAAACCUUUGUGCACAGGGAUGAAAAUAGCUCACUCUUAUCUAGAGUGUAAAUACUUGAUAGUGUGAGAUAUUAGCUGAACUCAGAGCCAAUUAGACGUCAUGCUUCGACUAAAAAUUACAUUACAUGCAUAGUAAACAGGUGAAGCAGACUGUUUUAAGCAAACCAUUCAUUACAUUCAUUUUUAAAAGAGAUUAAAACACUUUCAGAAGUUCAAAAAACAGA